ACAAAAUCCUAAUUCUAAUAGAAUACUAAUAAUACUUUAAUUAGAUCAUAAUAAUGUUAAACAAGCUUAAUCAAAUUCAAAAAAACCUCAAAAAAAUUUCAAACAAACAAUAAGAAUUCUUAAAAAAAUAUUCAAAAGAACACAAAUAUCACUCAAAUACAUCUCAAUUCAAUCUUAAUUUAAUUCUAGUUAAAAUCCUAUUGAACUUCAUUCAAACUUUAGGCCAAAACUAAUUGAAUCUUAAAUCCUAAUAAAAUCCUAAACCCUAAAUCAAAUCCUAAACAAACCUUAAACAAAAUCCCAACCAAAUCCUAAACCAGAUCCUAACCAAAUCCUAAACCAACCCUAAAUCCUAAAUCAAACCCUAACCAAACCUUAAACCCUAAAUAAAAUCCUAACCAAAUCUUAAAUCCUAAAUCAAAAUCUAACCAAAUCCUAAACCCUAAAUAAAGCCCUAACCAAAUCCUA
RNAcentral lists this long non-coding RNA (468 nucleotides) under Physcomitrium patens. RNAcentral's name for it is "long non-coding RNA (PPAT_LNC003177)". The record is from RNAcentral. Lineage: Eukaryota; Viridiplantae; Streptophyta; Bryopsida; Funariales; Funariaceae.